RNAcentral lists this ribosomal RNA (918 nucleotides) under Bacillus licheniformis. Its description in RNAcentral is "bacterial SSU rRNA". It matches the Rfam family "Bacterial small subunit ribosomal RNA", at positions 150 to 1052 of the family's 1533-position model. Lineage: Bacteria; Bacillati; Bacillota; Bacilli; Caryophanales; Bacillaceae. The record is from RNAcentral.
CGGGAAACCGGGGCUAAUACCGGAUGCUUGAUUGAACCGCAGGGUUCAAUCAUAAAAGGUGGCUUUUAGCUACCACUUACACAUGGACCCACGGGGCAUUAGCUAGUUGGUAAGGUAACGGCUCACCAAGGCCACAAUGCGAAGCCGACCUGAAAGGGUGAUCGGCAAACUUGGAACUGAAACACAGCCCAAACUCCUACGGGAGGCAGCAAUAGGGAAUCUUCCGCAAGGGACAAAAGUCUGACGAACCAACGCCGCGUGAGUGAUGAAGGUUUUCGGAUCGCAAAACUCUGUUGUUAGGGAAAAACAAGUACCGUUCGAAUAGGGGGGUACCUUGACGGAACCUAACCAAAAAGCCCCGCCUAACUACUGGCCAGCAGCCGCGGAAAUACGUAGGUGGCAACCGUUGUCCGGAAUUAUUGGGCGUAAAGCGCGCGCAGGCGGUUUCUUAAGUCUGAUGUGAAACCCCCCGGCUCAACCGGGAAGGGUCAUUGAAAACUGGGAAACUUGAGUGCAAAAAAGGAGAGUGGAAUUCCACGUGUAGCGGUGAAAUGCGAAAAGAUGUGGAGAAACACCAUUGGCGAACGCGACUCUCUGGUCUGUAACUGACGCUGAGGCGCGAAAGCGAGGGGAGAGAACAGGAUUAGAUACCCUGGUAGUCCACGCCUUAAACGAUGAGUGCUAAGUGUUAGAGGGUUUCCGCCCUUUAGUGCUGCAGCAAACGCAUUAAGCACUCCGCCUGGGGAGUACGGUCGCAAGACUGAAACUCAAAGGAAUUGACGGGGGCCCGCACAAGCGUUGGAGCAUGUGGUUUAAUUCGAGCAACGCGAAAAACCUUCCCAGGUCUUGACAUCCUCUGACAACCUUAAAAAUGGGGCUCCCCCCUUCGGGGCAGAGUGACAGGUGGGUGAUGGUUGU